This 277-nucleotide ribosomal RNA is filed under the name uncultured bacterium. RNAcentral's name for it is "partial 16S ribosomal RNA". It matches the Rfam family "Bacterial small subunit ribosomal RNA", at positions 28 to 313 of the family's 1533-position model. The record is from RNAcentral.
GAUUAACGCUGGCGGCGUGCCUAACACAUGCAAGUCGAACGGGGGUAGCAAUACUCCAGUGGCAGACGGGUGAGUAACACGUGACCAACCUACCGCGGAGUGGGGGAUAACUAGUCGAAAGAUUAGCUAAUACCGCAUGACACGUAGCGAGGCAUCUCGCAACGUUGAAAGGAGCAAUCCGCUCGGUGACGGGGUCGCGUCCGAUUAGCUAGUUGGUGGGGUAACGGCCUACCAAGGCACCGAUCGGUAGCUGGUUUGAGAGAGCGACCAGCCACAC